AUAGUAGUAAGACUUGCAUACAUUGUGUGUUCCAGCAUUUGCUUCUUCACGGAUAGGAUCACGAAGUGGUGUUGUGAGAUACGGCAAGUUCUUCUGCAGCUUUUCACAGGCGAGCCCUCUCUCUUCACCUAUUAUACACUCUCCCUCGCAUUGCUAUCCUUAUGUUGCGCUUCUUUAUCGAGUCACGUGUCCUAUUCCACUUGUUUACCCUAAUACUCCUAUAUGUAUCAUUCCUUACCCAUAGCCGUUGCUUGAUGUUUGAGCCUUGCGAGUCGUAGGCGUGUUUAGGCUCUGUUGUUUAUCUCGAUCUGUUAUCGGGAUAUGUUGGGUUAUUGGGAGGUUAUCACAUGCUAUAUUAGUUGUUGGAGAUAAUCACACUUUACUUUAUUGUUAACAACUAAAAUUGUAAGCAGGGGCAUCUGUGAGCCCCUUUGCGAAAGCAUCGGAACUUUGACUUGCUAAUGUCCCCUAGGACCCGAGUUCUUGUUAUUUGUUCCGAGAUUGAGCGCUCUACCCGUACGUGGGGGAGUGGGACCCCCAUCACCCACUACCUUUCCUCGAGUCUGUUUAUUGGGAGCCACAACCUUGGUUUUAUUUGCCCAUAUGCACGAUGCACGAUUUACUUCUGUUGCCUUCGGGUGUUUAUAUUCUGUUUUGUACUCAUAUCGUGGAACGAUUAGCGACAGCAGGUUGUUCACACUUAGCUUAGCCGCUGUCACAAACCUCUGGGUCUGUGUCGGAGUACGGCCGGACUUCGUCACGGGUAGCUUAGUUGGGUGGCUCCCAUUAAACUUUCUCUUGCAUUGGGAACGGUCUUGUUGUGAGACUCCACCUGUAGUAAGUGGGUUCGAGCAUGCGUAUGGUUACAUUUGGGCAACCCCUGCAGGGUGUACAUCUUAUCGAUAAGCCGUGUCCGCGGUUAUGGACGACUUGGAAUUGUGUAGCUUGAUCAUAGAACAACUUACACCUUAUUGCCUGUUGCUAAUAAUUUGCUAAUAAAACUUUUCCAAAAAAUGUGUGUGCCUUUGCCAGUACCUCUUUGCGAAGGGGGAUCACAUCGGCUGUGUUAUGUUUGCAGAGUAUAGAACUGUUACCUUGUGCGCUCUCUUAUCUUCUCUGAGUAGACGGAUGUUAUAGCGUGUCUCUAUUGGUUAUAGUUUUGCUGCCGCUAAACCUACCAUAUAGCCCCAGGCGAUAUAUAUAUUCGCCCGACGAGCAUAGCCAUUUCUAGUCUCGCUAAGUACGUGCCGGAGUUCGUUCCUUGGUACUUACUCUCGCCUUUCCUCUUUCUCUUUUGCUUCCUCCCUUUUGUCGGCAACCGAUGGCCCGACUUUGACAGGUACGAGAUGACGACGUUAGCAAGGUUACCCUUCCGGCUUGGCCUGGGCAGGGUUAUGGACGCCACUGGUUAUCUUCAGGACUCUUAGUCCAAUUUGUAUCUUGUCCGUACUCGGACGUAUUUGAUCUUCUGUAUGAUUUCGAUCUUUGUAUGUAUCUAUUUGUAUCUUGACUCGUUGGAGUCAUUGUUGUAUAUAUGUAUCUUGUGGGCUCUAUUGUAAUCCUGUUGUAAUGUUA
Molecule: non-coding RNA, 1575 nt
Organism: Lolium perenne
Lineage: Eukaryota; Viridiplantae; Streptophyta; Magnoliopsida; Poales; Poaceae
Source: RefSeq, a predicted model, not a curated record